Long non-coding RNA from Archocentrus centrarchus (flier cichlid), 931 nucleotides. RefSeq lists it as uncharacterized. The record is from RefSeq and is a predicted model, not a curated record. The transcript is spliced from 2 exons. Lineage: Eukaryota; Metazoa; Chordata; Actinopteri; Cichliformes; Cichlidae.
GAAGAGCGUGAGGUGGGUUCGCUGAUAUUAGCACUGUGGUAAAAUGUUGUGUAUUAUUGCUGUAUGUUCGUAUAUGAUCACUGGCUAACUGUAAUAUGUACUUAUAUCAACCAGGACACUAAUGAGUUGCAUAUUGUACCUUUGAUGAGAUUAAUAACAUUAUAACACACAGUUGGAAAAGUUCGCUAGCCUGAUGCUAAUGGAAAAUGCCAUUCCUCGUACGGUGCUGUACCCGAUGAUGAGUCCAUGAUUCUGACCAGUACAUGUUCCGUUUCAUGCAGAUAAAGUUCAGCAUUCAUCUCAUCCUGUCUCCUGACUAUCAUUAAACACAACGCAGACACAAACUAUACGACGGAUGAAGACACAGAACUGGGUUAUGAUUAUUUGGACCGAGCUGAAUUAAUACACGGCCAAGUUCAGCACGGUUACACUGGUGCCGUGACCCGUUCUUCAGCUGCGUCGGCGCGGGCAGAGUCUACUUCCCGGAGCGCUCGCAUCGGAGUACCGGGGCUGCGUCUACUUCCUGGUGUAACAAUGCCAGUUCUUUGUUAAUAGUGUUUAUAGUUUACAGUUGUCUCUGCCAGUUAUGUUCAUAUUUAUUUAUGUAGAAUUUCACAAAGAUUAUUUUAUUGAAUUUACCUGACGUGUUUGUGUAGCUCCGGUUGGUGUGCGGAACCUUUCUUUUGUUAUUGUUUUCUGUACCCCUACGUUUAGUUUUCUGGGACAACUCCUUUAUAAGGAGCAGUCUCGCGCUCACUCUCCCCCUUCUUCCUGUGGCAUUCGGCGGGAGCGGUGAGUGAAAGUUUAGGAAGUUUAGUAAUCGUAAAUCCAGCUGUACUAGACAACAAUGUCUUUGUGUGUUUUGUUUGUGUAGGGGCUUAAAGCGAUCGUCACCAACCAGACUGUGAUGUUUUGUUUACUAUUUGGUCAG